This 446-nucleotide ribosomal RNA is filed under the name uncultured soil bacterium. RNAcentral's name for it is "bacterial SSU rRNA". It matches the Rfam family "Bacterial small subunit ribosomal RNA", at positions 26 to 518 of the family's 1533-position model. The record is from RNAcentral.
AGAACGAACGCUGGCGGCAUGCCUAAUACAUGCAAGUCGAACGAACUCUUCGGAGUUAGUGGCGCACGGGUGCGUAACGCGUGGGAAUCUGCCCUUGGGUUCGGAAUAACAGUUGGAAACGACUGCUAAUACCGGAUGAUGACGAAAGUCCAAAGAUUUAUCGCCCAGGGAUGAGCCCGCGUAGGAUUAGCUAGUUGGUGAGGUAAAGGCUCACCAAGGCGACGAUCCUUAGCUGGUCUGAGAGGAUGAUCAGCCACACUGGGACUGAGACACGGCCCAGACUCCUACGGGAGGCAGCAGUAGGGAAUAUUGGACAAUGGGCGAAAGCCUGAUCCAGCAAUGCCGCGUGAGUGAUGAAGGCCUUAGGGUUGUAAAGUCUCUUUUACCCGAGAUGAUAAUGACAGUAUCGGAAGAAUAAGCCCGGCUAACCUCGCGCCAGCAGCCGC